Molecule: ribosomal RNA, 468 nt
Filed under: uncultured bacterium
Lineage: Bacteria
Description: partial 16S ribosomal RNA
Rfam family: Bacterial small subunit ribosomal RNA
Source: RNAcentral
GACGAACGCUGGCGGCGUGCUUAACACAUGCAAGUCGAACGGAAAGGCCCUGCUUUUGUGGGGUGCUCGAGUGGCGAACGGGUGAGUAACACGUGAGUAACCUGCCCUUGACUUUGGGAUAACUUCAGGAAACUGGGGCUAAUACCGGAUAGGAGCUCCUGCUGCAUGGUGGGGGUUGGAAAGUUUCGGCGGUUGGGUAUGGACUCGCGGCUUAUCAGCUUGUUUGUGGGGUAGUGGCUUACCAAGGCUUUGACGGGUAGCCGGCCUGAGAGGGUGACCGGCAACAUUGGGACUGAGAUACGGCACAGACUCCUACGGGAGGCAGCAGUGGGGAAUAUUGCACAAUGGGCGGAAGCCUGAUGCAGCAACGCAGCGUGCGGGAUGACGGCCUUCGGGUUGUAAACCGCUUUCGCCUGUGACGAAGCGUGAGUGACGGUAAUGGGUAAAGAAGCACCGGCUAACUACGUG